GACGAACGCUGGCGGCGUGCCUAAUACAUGCAAGUCGAACGCAUUUUCUUUCACCGUAGCUUGCUACACCGAAAGAAAAUGAGUGGCGAACGGGUGAGUAACACGUGGGUAACCUGCCCAUCAGCGGGGGAUAACACUUGGAAACAGGUGCUAAUACCGCAUAAUUCCAUUUACCGCAUGGUAGAUGGGUGAAAGGCGCUUUUGCGUCACUGAUGGAUGGACCCGCGGUGCAUUAGCUAGUUGGUGGGGUAACGGCCUACCAAGGCUGCGAUGCAUAGCCGACCUGAGAGGGUGAUCGGCCACACUGGGACUGAGACACGGCCCAGACUCCUACGGGAGGCAGCAGUAGGGAAUCUUCGGCAAUGGACGCAAGUCUGACCGAGCAACGCCGCGUGAGUGAAGAAGGUUUUCGGAUCGUAAAACUCUGUUGUUAGAGAAGAACAAGGAUGAGAGUGGAAAGUUCAUCCCAUGACGGUAUCUAACCAGAAAGCCACGGCUAACUACGUG
RNAcentral lists this ribosomal RNA (507 nucleotides) under uncultured bacterium. RNAcentral's name for it is "partial 16S ribosomal RNA". It matches the Rfam family "Bacterial small subunit ribosomal RNA", at positions 28 to 507 of the family's 1533-position model. The record is from RNAcentral.